CCGGGCGCGUAUAUUACCCACUCCCGGCACGGGGAGGUAGUGACGAAAAAUAACAAUAUAGAACUAGUAAACUAUGUUCUGUAAUUGGAAUGAAUCAAGUUUAAAUCCUUUAAUGAGGAUCAAGUGGAGGGCAAGUCUGGUGCCAGCAGCCGCGGUAAUUCCAGCUCCACUAGCGUAUGUUAAAAUUGUUGCGGUUAAAACGUUCGAAGUUGAUCGUUGUCCAGUACGGGUGUGAUAUCGUCAUGUAAACGAUUGUCAUCGCUUUGUCUACUCGGACUAUAUGACUGAACACUAAAUGAAUAGCAAUGAUGCCUUUAACUAGGAUAGUUGUCUAUUUAGUUCGGCUUACUUUUACCUUGAACAAAUUAAAGUGCUCAAAGCAGGCUCGAUAUGCUUGAAUAGUUUUGCAUGGAAUAAUGGAAAAAGACCUCGGUCUUAUGCUGCUGUGUGUCUUCGGAUGCGCAGUGGACUUUCUAUUGGUUUGAUACGGAUCAAGAGGUAAUGAUUAAUAGAAGCAUUUGGGGGCAUUAGUAUUACGGCGCGUGAGGUGAAAUUCUUAGACCGUCGUAAUACUAACUAAAGCGAAAGCAUUUGCCAAAGGUU
This 603-nucleotide ribosomal RNA is filed under the name Yaetanytarsus dybasi. RNAcentral's name for it is "partial small subunit ribosomal RNA". It matches the Rfam family "Eukaryotic small subunit ribosomal RNA", at positions 428 to 966 of the family's 1831-position model. The record is from RNAcentral. Lineage: Eukaryota; Metazoa; Arthropoda; Insecta; Diptera; Chironomidae.